CCUACGGGAGGCAGCAGUGGGGAAUAUUGGACAAUGGGGGCAACCCUGAUCCAGCAAUGCCGCGUGUGUGAAGAAGGCCUGAGGGUUGUAAAGCACUUUCAGUGGGGAGGAGGAUACUUAGGUUAAGAGCUAGAGUAUUGGACGUUACCCACAGAAGAAGCACCGGCUAACUCCGUGCCAGCAGCCGCGGUAAUACGGAGGGUGCGAGCGUUAAUCGGAAUUACUGGGCGUAAAGGGUGCGUAGGUGGUUGAUUAAGUUAUCUGUGAAAUCCCCGGGCUCAACCUGGGCAGGUCAGAUAAUACUGAUUGACUCGAGUAUAGGAGAGGGUAGUGGAAUUUCCGGUGUAGCGGUGAAAUGCGUAGAGAUCGGAAGGAACACCAGUGGCGAAGGCGGCUACCUGGCCUAAUACUGACACUGAGGCACGAAAGCGUGGGGAGCAAACAGGAUUAGAUACCCUGGUAGUCCACGCUGUAAACCGAUGUCAACUAGCUGUUGGUUAUAUGAAUAUAAUUAGUGGCGCAGCAAACGCGAUAAGUUGACCGCCUGGGGAAUCGGUGCAAGNUUAAAACCUUAGAAGUAGUCGGCGNGNGAGAGCGACGACGACGACGAGGAGGGAGG
Molecule: ribosomal RNA, 619 nt
Filed under: uncultured bacterium
Lineage: Bacteria
Description: bacterial SSU rRNA
Rfam family: Bacterial small subunit ribosomal RNA
Source: RNAcentral